RNAcentral lists this ribosomal RNA (322 nucleotides) under uncultured eukaryote. RNAcentral's name for it is "partial 18S ribosomal RNA". It matches the Rfam family "Eukaryotic small subunit ribosomal RNA", at positions 1470 to 1796 of the family's 1831-position model. The record is from RNAcentral.
CCCUUAGAUGUUCUGGGCCGCACGCGUGCUACACUGAGUGGAUCAGCGGGUCAGGUUGCGCGAAAGCGUUUCCUAAUCUUUAAAUCCGCUCGUGAUGGGGAUUGACGGUUGCAAUUUUCUGUCAUGAACGAGGAAUACCUUGUAAGCGCGGGUCAUCAUCCCGCGCUGAAUACGUCCCUGCCCUUUGUACACACCGCCCGUCGCUCCUACCGGUUGAGUGGUCCGGUGAGGCUUUGGGAUCUGAGCGAAAAGAGCGUUUCGCUGUUUCUGCUCGGAAAACUCAGUCGAACCUUAUCAUUUAGAGGAAGGAGAAGUCGUAACA